AUUGAACGCUGGCGGCAGGCCUAACACAUGCAAGUCGAGCGGAUGAAGGGAGCUUGCUCCUGUAUUCAGCGGCGGACGGGUGAGUAAUGCCUAGGAAUCUGCCUGGUAGUGGGGGAUAACGUCCGGAAACGGGCGCUAAUACCGCAUACGUCCUGAGGGAGAAAGUGGGGGAUCUUCGGACCUCACGCUAUCAGAUGAGCCUAGGUCGGAUUAGCUAGUUGGUGGGGUAAAGGCCUACCAAGGCGACGAUCCGUAACUGGUCUGAGAGGAUGAUCAGUCACACUGGAACUGAGACACGGUCCAGACUCCUACGGGAGGCAGCAGUGGGGAAUAUUGGACAAUGGGCGAAAGCCUGAUCCAGCCAUGCCGCGUGUGUGAAGAAGGUCUUCGGAUUGUAAAGCACUUUAAGUUGGGAGGAAGGGCAGUAAGUUAAUACCUUGCUGUUUUGACGUUACCAACAGAAUAAGCACCGGCUAACUUCGU
RNAcentral lists this ribosomal RNA (483 nucleotides) under uncultured bacterium. RNAcentral describes it as "partial 16S ribosomal RNA". It matches the Rfam family "Bacterial small subunit ribosomal RNA", at positions 30 to 506 of the family's 1533-position model. The record is from RNAcentral.